UUUCUUGAUAAUGACCAUGCAAAACACCAUGUAAACCUGCAUCGGUAUUAUUUAGGUGGUCUCAUGUGGCAACUUUUUGUAAUUCCUACUCAACUGAACUGGGAGUAAAUUCCUCUGGACGGUGAAAACAUUUGCAAUUGGUGGUUCUGCAAAUUUAAAAGAAAAAUUCUCAAAGCAUAAGCUCCAUUCUUGGUUUAUUAGAAAAAAAAGAAACUAUUGAUCGGCUGCUUGGCAGCAUUCAGUAGUUUGGGAGAGAAACAACCUUAGAUAUCUGGGUGCACAGUUCCUCAUGGGUUACAUUUCUUGUCCAUUAUACUAGAAGCAGCCUACUUUGCUUUUCUUGCUUUCCUUUUGGUCCAUUUUUGAUGCAGUAGCAUUGGAUUAAUGGAUUUUCUGGACCUUAGUUCAAUGGUAUGGUUGCUCCAUUGUGACCAAGUGGUCAUGGGUUCGAGUCAGGAAAUAGCCUCUUGCGAAGCGGGGGUAAGGCUGUGUACAUUAUGAACCUCCCUAGACCCCGUAGUGGCGGGAGUCUCAUGCACUGGGUACACCCUUUUUUAGCAUUGGAUUAGUCGGACAAGUAUAAUAGACUUUAGAAGCCAAAGCCCAAAAUAUACAGCCCAUCAUCCAAGUCCAAGGCUUCUUAGUGGUAUUUAUGUACUUAUCUUUUAAAUAUAUUAAUACUGGAUGUUAGAGUUGUGGGGAUCAUUGAUGUUGACGCACAUGCUGGCCUCCAUUACUGAAGGAGGAAGGCCUGCCAGACCAGCCAGCCGUUGGCUGAUCUGGUCCAGCUGGUCCUCACAAUUUUGUGCCUAUGCUGCAUGCUGGCCACAUCAGCAGCCAUCGAUCUAGCAUAGGAUGCCCUUGGAUUUGCAUAUUUUAUUUCUUGUUUUGGACUUCUAGAAGCCCCCACAGGCUGCCAUUGAUUCAGCCUUCUAGAAGCUGCCUUUUUGCUGCCUGUGAUUCUCCUCUACAGCUGUAUUUCUGUAUUUUAUAUUUGAUUGGUCAAACCUUGGUUGGACAAGUCAAGUUAGCUUCUAGAAAGUCCCUUUUAUUUCUCUCUUUAUGCUUUCUUAGUCUCAAUUUAUUUGUUGGUAGCCUAAAGCUGUUAGUGUUUUUUUUUUUGGGAACUACUAUUUUGUAAGCCAUCUAUUCUCUAUAAAAGAGAGGUUGCUGUACCAAUUUACGGGGAAUGAAGACUUGAAUAUUUGGAGCUACAAGUAGGAUGGAUCAAUAGUAGAGAUAGCUAUGGGUGAGAUUUGUGAGCAAUUAGAGCAUCGAAUUGAAGUUCCAGCAGCCUCACAAUUGAAGAUCGAAGAACAGUCAAAACCCCAAAUCGAUUUCAGGUUUGUCAGGGUUUUGGGCCAAAUCGACAAGUGCUGUUUCUCCCUAACCGGUAGCCAUCUUUGAAUACCCUUUGAAGCGUUUGAAGACUAUCCAAGGAGGCCACUCGACCAGGGUUUCAGCCCCUGCUGACCAGCCAAAGUCCAGCCACAGGUCUUCUCCCAUAUUCUGGCUGAACCCUGUGUCAGCCAGGAUUCGUCUCGAGUUGCUGCUGUGUUGUUGCUGAUCUGUUGGAAGGUGUUCUGAGGAUUAUUCCAGCCUACUUUUGAGCCUAACCUGACCAGUUCUCCACGCAAGCAGUUUCAGUUCUACAGGCGUCGUCCUAUGUCAACUUCAACAACCCAGGUAUUAAGAAGCCUUGUUGCAUCCUGGUUGGAAGCGCUUUAUGGAUGUUGAGAUGGAUGCUCUGUUGGAUUGUCGACCUUGGACUCUUACUGACGUUACCCUCAGGGAAGGAGCUUCUGAGGCAUUGUUGGGUGCAAACAAUUAAGUAUCUUCAAGAUCGUCAGUUGAGCGGUUGAAAGCUUGCUAGGUUGCCAAAGGAUUUAUUUAGACACAUGUUAUUGAUUGUUUUGAGACCUCUCCCAUGGCGCUUCUUAAUUUUGUUUGCGUUCUAUCUCCUUGGCUAUUAAUCUUGAUCGGCUUGUGUUUCAGCUAGAUAUAAAAAAGUCUUCUCUUUAUGGUGAUCUUGAGGAAGAGAUAUAUAAAGCAACGUCCGGGUAUGCCACUCAGGGGGAGAAUGUGUCUUAACAUAUGCCAUCUUCACAAGACUAUAUGUGGGCUAAAACAGUCUCUUCGUGCCUCAUUCUAUAAGUUUGUUUAAGUUAUUGGUGGUUAUGGGUUCACUUAGUGCUUCUUUGAUCAAUUUGUGGCCAUUGGACAUUGGGGGGGGGGGUGCGGUGGGGGUUGGAGAACAAGGUUGUCAUCCUAGUUGUGUAUGUUGAUGAUAUUAAAAUUUUUGGUAUUGAUUCUUCCAGCAUUGAAGAUGUCAAGGCGUAUCUGCAUUGGCAUUUUCAGAUGAAGGACUGAGGGAUGCUCGGGUAUUUUUUGAUGAUUGAAGUUGUUUGUUGCAAGAAGGGUGUCAGUUUAUGUCAAACGAAAAAUGUCAUAGAUUUUCUAUUUGAGACUGUUAUGUUGGGCUGUAUGUCUAUUGCUUAUUGAUACCCUAUGGAUCCAAAUCUAAAACUUGGAUGUGUGAUGACAAAGAACUUCUGGAUAAACAUCAAUACAGAUUAUUGGUUGAGAAACUUAUUUGUUCAACUGUUACACAUCUUGAUAUCUCCUUUGCCGUUGGAGUUAUUAGUCAUUUUAUGGAAGGUUCUUAGCAUGCUCACUGGAAUGUUGCUUGUCGCAUUAUGAGAUAUUUAAAAGGUGUUCGUGGGAAAAUUUCUUAUUUAUUGUCAUCAUGGUCACAUGUUUGAGAUUUAAAAGUAACUGCAAACGUACGGAUAAAUGUAGCUAUGGGUCGAACACAAGGAGAGCAACCACUUUAUUUUUGGC
Long non-coding RNA from Macadamia integrifolia, 2841 nucleotides. RefSeq lists it as uncharacterized. The record is from RefSeq and is a predicted model, not a curated record. The transcript has 3 exons. NCBI's taxonomy places the organism in Eukaryota, Viridiplantae, Streptophyta, Magnoliopsida, Proteales, Proteaceae.